CAGAGGGAGUGUGUUCUAAGGAUGGGAAAGAAUGCUUCAAUGGAGGAAAAUACGAAACAAGCAAGACUCCCACCACGUGUACUUGUGCAAGCGGUUACAAAGGAGCCACCUGUCAAAAUGCUGGAGGUACGGCGACAAUUUCAGCAUACCUGCUCUCUCUGACUGUUGUCACGUUUUUCGUCAUCCAGUAAACGACCAUUCCACGCUGACCGACACACCCAGUUUGAAACUGCGUUCUGCUAUGUUUACAGCAAAUCAAAGUAUACUAAAUUGUAAAUCUUUAAAAUGACUUGAGUUCAAAGAUAUUUA
Long non-coding RNA from Haliotis rubra (blacklip abalone), 309 nucleotides. RefSeq lists it as uncharacterized. The transcript has 2 exons. NCBI's taxonomy places the organism in Eukaryota, Metazoa, Mollusca, Gastropoda, Lepetellida, Haliotidae. The record is from RefSeq and is a predicted model, not a curated record.